CUCUCAUCGAAGCUGGCACUGGAAGCUUCCUCCAUAAAUCCAAACUAAACUGCACCGAGGGAGAAAUCAGAGACGAAAAUGAAGGUGGCGAGAUUGGCACGCAUGGCAGCAAUGGCGCGGAACAAGCUCUUAUGCUCUUCACAUUUGGCUUCCAUGCACAUCUCUACUCCUACAUCUCGCCAAAUAAGCAUGAAGACAGAGGGUCUUACUGCUCGGCUUAAUAGUGCUGGUCUGUUAAGGACCCAGGGUCUUAUUGGAGGGAAAUGGACAGAUGCAUAUGAUGGGAAGACAAUUCAGGUCCUUAAUCCCGCAACUGGUGAAGUUGUAGCAGAUGUCCCAUGCAUGGGUGGAAAAGAGACAAAUGAUGCAAUUUCUUCUGCUCAUGAUGCAUUUUAUUCUUGGAGCAAUCUCACUUGCACUGAGAGGAGCAAGCAUUUACGAACAUGGUAUAACUUAUUAAUUUCCCACAAAGAAGAACUUGGACAACUAAUAACCUUAGAGCAAGGAAAACCUCUAAAAGAAGCCAUCGGUGAGGUUAACUAUGGAGCCAGUUUUAUUGAGUUCUUUGCGGAGGAGGCAAAGCGUGUAUAUGGUGACAUAAUCCCAGCAACUCUUGGUGAUCGUCGGUUGUUGGUUCUAAAGCAGCCUGUUGGGGUGGUUGGUGCAAUUACUCCGUGGAACUUUCCAUUGGCCAUGAUCACUCGUAAGGUUUGUUCAACUUGGGAUGAUUAGGAUCCGAUUGUUUUGGUGGUUUUGAACGACUUUCUGGUUUAAGAUGAAAUGCUUCUUUUCCUCGCACAUUCAGGUUGGUCCUGCCCUUGCUUGUGGUUGUACAGUAGUUAUAAAGCCCUCUGAACUUACACCUCUCACAGCCUUAGCAGCCGCGGAGCUAGCCCUGCAAGCUGGAAUACCACCGGGGGUUCUGAAUGUGGUUAUGGGAAAUGCUCCUGAUAUUGGAAACGCUUUACUAGCUAGUUCACAGGUGAGAAAGAUCACAUUCACAGGCUCUACGGCUGUGGGAAAGAAGUUGAUGGAAGGUGCUGCUGGAACUGUUAAAAGGGUGUCUUUGGAACUCGGUGGCAAUGCACCCUGCAUAAUUUUUGAUGAUGCAGACCUUGACGUUGCAGUAAAAGGAUCUGUAAGUUAAAGUACUUGUCUAUGUGUAUUGUGUAUGGAAGCUACUAACCCAUAAAUUUUUGGGUUCCAUUAUUCUGGAGUCUAAUAUCUUGUCUCAUAACUUGUUGAUCUUGUAUUAGCUGCUAACAUUUUUUCUUGGUUUAUCAACAUGGGCUUCAAUUCAAUCAGUUGCUAAAAUUAACUGUCAUUGCUAUAAUAUUUAUAACAGAUUUCUUUGUUAUCAUUUGUUGCUAGGUUGUAAAUUGGUUAGGGUGAUUUGUUUUAUAGCAUUGGUAUUACACAUUUUUGAUAUAUUGGGAGCUGCAUCCCACAUGAGCAGUUCGGACUUGUGAUGGACUUGUGAUGCACUCUGUCAUUGCUAUUCUUGAUGCUUGAUUGCAGCCUAGGAAGAGAGACUUCACUUGAUGUCAUUAUCAAGUAAGAUGAACUGUCCUGUUCUUUUGUUUUAAAGACAGAGGCUUAUUUUUCCUCUUACCUGUAGAGUUGUUUGCUGGCUGCAAAAGAGUGCCUUGUAGAGAUACAAGGUCUCUAUAACCAGGGCCACACUAGCCUUGGAUACUUGAGAAGUAAGAGGACAUCCAGUAUUUAAAAGACGUAUAGCCCAUUGCAUAGGUUAGAUUGAAUGACUAUUUAACUCAUGGGAAUUAAAUAAAAUUUCUGAUAAUGCAGAGGCUUUAGUUCAGUUCUUCAAAAGGGUUCUUGUAUGAUUAUUGAUUUCUUUUUCAAUUUUUAGUUUAUGACUUACCAUUUAAUUGUUGUAGCUUGCAGCAAAGUUCCGUAAUAGUGGGCAAACGUGUGUUUGUGCUAAUCGAUUGAUUGUACAAGAAGGUAUCUAUGACAAAUUUGCUGAGGCUUUUUCAAAAGCUGUUCAAAAUUUGCAAGUUGGGGAUGGCUUUAGUGAGGGGGUGGUACAGGGUCCAUUAAUUAAUGAAUCUGCAGUGCAAAAGGUUGAAUCAUUUGUUCAAGAUGCUAUCUCAAAGGGAGCAAAAGUUCUUCUUGGGGGCAAAAGACAUAGCCUUGGAAUGACUUUCUAUGAGCCAACAGUAAUCGGUGAUGUCAAGAGUGAGAUGAUUUUAUCCAGAGAGGAAGUAUUUGGACCAGUGGCGCCACUCAUGCGGUUCAAAACAGAGGAGGAAGCUAUCUCCAUUGCUAAUAACACAAAUGCAGGAUUAGCAGCAUAUAUUUUCACAAACAAUAUUCAACGUUCAUGGCGUGUCACUGAAGCACUUGAGUAUGGACUUGUUGGUGUCAAUGAAGGACUUAUUUCAACAGAGGUGGCUCCAUUUGGAGGAGUAAAACAGUCUGGCAUAGGACGGGAAGGCUCCAAGUAUGGGAUGGAUGAAUAUCUGGAGCUGAAAUAUGUAUGCUUAGGAGAUAUGAACAGAAAGUGAGAUGCAAGGUAGUUCGCAGGUUAUAGUUUUGGUGGGAUGGUUGAUGUCGGAGGCAUAGAAGAUGAGCAGCGUAGUGGUCCUUAUGCUUUGUGUAUGUAAUAAGUGCAAUGUCCAAGCAUAUCUGAAUGACAAAUGUUUCUUUGCUUGGCCUGUUGUAUAAUACUUUUUUUCAGUCCUUCCUCUUUAUUGGGCUGAAUGCUUAUCAUUAGUUUUUGUUUUCAUUUUCAUGCACAAAUGGAUAGUUUUGAGUUUUUAACAUAGUUGGGUUUUCAAGGUUGUGUUUAUCGGGAUCAUUUUGCUGAUCAUCUUAUCCAUAAUAAGAAGGAAAUGGUAAUGAAUUUUGGCAAGAAGGGGUUACGUAAUGCCUUUGUAAAAUAGAAAAGAUUGUGGCGCUCAAUACAUGGUACUAAUUGCAAUGAUAGUUGAGAUGGUUGGUGAUCGUGGAAUGAUUGUUAUGGUCUUUGGAUGAUUAAUUUUGAUGUAGUAGUAAUUCUGGAAUAGGAAAAUGAUGGUGAUAUUGCUGAACAAUAGUGAUUAUUACCCCUUGAAUGAAUAGACUAGGGCCUGCUUUCCUUUCCCUUUCCUGAAAUGUGCCGAGGUUUCGGUUAUUUCUUGUGGAGUCAUUUUAUUUUAUUUUUCAGAUGGAUUAGGAUUGGGUGAUUUUAGAUUGGGGUUGAUUUUGUGUAUCUAUCAAAUUGCUGUAUAGAAAAAUAUUUGACUAAAAUUUAAAUUAAUUUG
RNAcentral lists this unclassified non-coding RNA (3266 nucleotides) under Hevea brasiliensis (rubber tree). The record is from RNAcentral. Lineage: Eukaryota; Viridiplantae; Streptophyta; Magnoliopsida; Malpighiales; Euphorbiaceae.